This 253-nucleotide ribosomal RNA is filed under the name uncultured bacterium. Its description in RNAcentral is "partial 16S ribosomal RNA". It matches the Rfam family "Bacterial small subunit ribosomal RNA", at positions 524 to 776 of the family's 1533-position model. The record is from RNAcentral.
UACGGAGGGUGCAAGCGUUAAUCGGAAUUACUGGGCGUAAAGCGUGCGCAGGCGGUUUGUUAAGUCUGUUGUGAAAUCCCCGAGCUCAACUUGGGAAUUGCAAUGGAUACUGGCAAGCUGGAGUAUGGUAGAGGAAGGUGGAAUUCCCGGUGUAGCAGUGAAAUGCGUAGAGAUCCGGAAGAACACCGGUGGCGAAGGCGGCCUGCUGGGCAGUAGCUGACGCUGAGGCGCGACAGCGUGGGGAGCAAACAGG